AGCGAACGCUGGCGGCAGGCUUAACACAUGCAAGUCGAGCGGGCCCUUCGGGGUCAGCGGCAGACGGGUGAGUAACGCGUGGGAACGUGCCCUUCGGUUCGGAAUAACUCAGGGAAACUUGAGCUAAUACCGGAUACGCCCUUUUGGGGAAAGGCUUGACUGCCGAAGGAUCGGCCCGCGUCUGAUUAGCUAGUUGGUGAGGUUACGGCUCACCAAGGCGACGAUCAGUAGCUGGUCUGAGAGGAUGAUCAGCCACACUGGGACUGAGACACGGCCCAGACUCCUACGGGAGGCAGCAGUGGGGAAUAUUGGACAAUGGGGGCAACCCUGAUCCAGCCAUGCCGCGUGAGUGAUGACGGCCUUAGGGUUGUAAAGCUCUUUUCUCCGGGACGAUAAUGACGGUACCGGAGGAAUAAGCCCCGGCUAACUUCGUGCCAGCAGCCGCGGUA
This 449-nucleotide ribosomal RNA is filed under the name Methylobacterium sp. 4BR9. RNAcentral describes it as "bacterial SSU rRNA". It matches the Rfam family "Bacterial small subunit ribosomal RNA", at positions 29 to 522 of the family's 1533-position model. The record is from RNAcentral. Lineage: Bacteria; Pseudomonadati; Pseudomonadota; Alphaproteobacteria; Hyphomicrobiales; Methylobacteriaceae.